UAGUAUGAUGAUGUGGGCUAUACUUAUUUGUUUUGCUGACAUGGACACUACAGCUGUCAUGUGUGCUAUUGGAUUUUAAUUGUAUAUGUGGUAGUGCAUUGCAUGUUGAGAUAAAUAGUUAUUGAGGUUUUACUUAGUGGAUUUUAAUUGAAUAUGGUAGUGCAUUGCUUAGGUGGAUAGCUUGCAUGCUUAGAGAAAUAGUUUAGUGGGGUUUAGGAUUAUAAGAGUCAUAGAUGUGUUGGUUGCAUUGUGACGCUAACGUGCAGGGCCCAUUCUGUCUAUCUGAUUCCCGGACAUUGUUCAUAUUUCUCGAUCCACGUACACAAAUAGGAAAAGAGAGUGUGCUUUUUGGAGGCCAUCGUUAUUGCUAUUGUUUGAGCCCCUUUCCGCAGUCCUCCCUGUCGAGGUCCGUCGGUGUUGCGGCGAUUCAAGUGGCAACGUCGCCUUUCUGUGCUCCUCCCCAUCGAGGCCCAUCGGUGUCGCGGUGAUUCAAGAGCUCUGGAGGCAUGUUACUAAUAUGACUGGUCACUUCCGGAAUCCCUUGUUAUGCCGUGAGCCGGGGACUUUGCCGUGUGUUUCCCAUCGGGCACACGGCAAAGAUUACUUUUGCCGAGAGCCACAAGCCCAACUUACGGCAUACUGAAAACGCUCGGCAUACGCCUCUUCACCGUCUGCUACUGUGUUGUACGAUCUUUGCCGUGCGCUGCAUACGGCAAAGUGUUUGCCGUGUGUUUUGGGCACUUUGCCGUGUACCUGAGGCACACGGCAAAGUUCCUGAAUCCGGUAGUGGGUGGUGUUCGUUGUGCACUGAUGCUUCUGUAAUGGUGGUCUCUCCUAUUUUAAGGUAAAUGAAAUGUGCUUCUAAAAUACUGUCAGAAUGUAGUAGCUGCCUCUAUCAUGUUCAGUUUAUGAUUCUAGUUUGAUGAAA
Molecule: long non-coding RNA, 928 nt
Organism: Sorghum bicolor (sorghum)
Lineage: Eukaryota; Viridiplantae; Streptophyta; Magnoliopsida; Poales; Poaceae
Exons: 2
Source: RefSeq, a predicted model, not a curated record